UUUCGAAUCGUUCACAAUGGGGGCAACCCUGAUGGCGCGACGCCGCGUGGGGGAUGAAGGUCUUCGGAUUGUAAACUCCUGUCAUUGGGGACUAAUGGCCAGGCUCAUACCCUGGUUUGAAUUAACCCAAAGAGGAAGCAGUGGCUAACUCUGUGCCAGCAGCCGCGGUAAUACAGAGACUGCAAGCGUUACUCGGAUUCACCGGGCGUAAAGGGAGCGCAGGCGGACUAGUGUGUCAGGCGUGAAAUCUCAGGGCUCAACCCUGAGGCUGCGUCCGAAACUACUAGUCUAGAGACUUGGAGGGGUAAGCGGAAUUCUUGGUGGAGCGGUGAAAUGCGUAGAUAUCAAGAGGAACACCAACGGCGAAGGCAGCUUACUGGACAAGAUCUGACGCUCAUGCACGAAAGCGUGGGGAGCAAACAGG
Molecule: ribosomal RNA, 424 nt
Filed under: uncultured bacterium
Lineage: Bacteria
Description: bacterial SSU rRNA
Rfam family: Bacterial small subunit ribosomal RNA
Source: RNAcentral